This 2888-nucleotide ribosomal RNA is filed under the name Sulfurirhabdus autotrophica. Its description in RNAcentral is "23S ribosomal RNA". It matches the Rfam family "Bacterial large subunit ribosomal RNA". The record is from RNAcentral. Lineage: Bacteria; Pseudomonadati; Pseudomonadota; Betaproteobacteria; Nitrosomonadales; Sulfuricellaceae.
UAGGGUCAAGCGAAUAAGUGCAUGUGGUGGAUGCCUUGGCGAUUACAGGCGAUGAAGGACGUGGCAGCCUGCGAAAUGCCCCGGGGAGCUGGCAAGCAAGCUUUGAUCCGAGGAUGUCCGAAUGGGGAAACCCACCCGCAAGGGUAACCUAGACUGAAUACAUAGGUCUAGCGUGGCGAACCUGCUGAACUGAAACAUCUAAGUAGGCAGAGGAAAAGAAAUCAACCGAGAUUCCGAAAGUAGUGGCGAGCGAAAUCGGAACAGCCGUCAUGUUUUAGCAGUUGUAUUAACAGAACGGAAUGGAAAGUCCGGCGAUAGAGGGUGAUAGCCCCGUAUGUGAAAAUACAGUUGUGGAACUAAGCAUGAGACAAGUAGGGCGGGACACGAGAAAUCCUGUCUGAAUAUGGGGGGACCAUCCUCCAAGGCUAAAUACUCGUAAUCGACCGAUAGUGAACUAGUACCGUGAGGGAAAGGCGAAAAGAACCCCGGGAGGGGAGUGAAAUAGAUCCUGAAACCGCAUGCAUACAAACAGUGGGAGCGGACUUGUUCCGUGACUGCGUACCUUUUGUAUAAUGGGUCAGCGACUUACAUUCAGUAGCGAGCUUAACCGAAUAGGGGAGGCGUAGGGAAACCGAGUCUGAUAAGGGCGUAUAGUUGCUGGGUGUAGACCCGAAACCGGAUGAUCUAUCCAUGGCCAGGAUGAAGGUGCGGUAACACGCACUGGAGGUCCGAACCCACUAACGUUGAAAAGUUAGGGGAUGAGCUGUGGAUAGGGGUGAAAGGCUAAACAAAUCCGGAAAUAGCUGGUUCUCUCCGAAAACUAUUUAGGUAGUGCCUCAUAUAUCACCCUCGGGGGUAGAGCACUGUUAUGGCUAGGGGCAUAUUGCAUGUUACCAAACCAUGGCAAACUCCGAAUACCGAGGAGUGCGAGUAUGGGAGACAGACAGCGGGUGCUAACGUCCGUUGUCAAGAGGGAAACAACCCAGACCGCCAGCUAAGGUCCCAAAGCAUAGUUAAGUGGAAAACGAAGUGGGAAGGCCCAGACAGCCAGGAGGUUGGCUUAGAAGCAGCCACCCUUUAAAGAAAGCGUAAUAGCUCACUGGUCGAGUCGUCCUGCGCGGAAGAUGUAACGGGGCUCAAACUAUGCACCGAAGCUGCGGAUAUGUACUUGUACAUAUGGUAGGAGAGCGUUCUGUAAGCCUGUGAAGGUGUCUGGAGACGGAUGCUGGAGGUAUCAGAAGUGCGAAUGCUGACAUGAGUAGCGAUAAAGGGAGUGAAAAGCUCCCUCGCCGAAAGCCCAAGGUUUCCUGCGCAACGUUCAUCGGCGCAGGGUGAGUCGGCCCCUAAGGUGAGGCAGAGAUGCGUAGCUGAUGGGAAAUAGGUUAAUAUUCCUAUACCUUUAUACAAUGCGAUGAGGGGACGGAGAAGGUUAGCUCAGCCAAGUGUUGGAUGUCUUGGUUUAAGCGUGUAGGUGGAUCUCUUAGGCAAAUCCGGGAGGUCAACACUGAGGCGUGAUGACGAGUUCUCAUUGAGAACGAAGUGAGUGAUACCAUGCUUCCAAGAAAAGCCUCUAAGCUUCAGUUGUAUGAAGACCGUACCGCAAACCGACACAGGUGGGCAGGGUGAGAAUCCUAAGGCGCUUGAGAGAACUCAGGAGAAGGAACUCGGCAAAUUGACACCGUAACUUCGGGAGAAGGUGUGCCCCAAGUAUGUGAAGCGACUUGCUCGUGGAGCAGAACGGGGUUGCAGUGAACUGGUGGCUGCGACUGUUUAAUAAAAACACAGCACUCUGCAAACACGAAAGUGGACGUAUAGGGUGUGACGCCUGCCCGGUGCCGGAAGGUUAAAUGAUGGGGUGCAAGCUCUUGAUUGAAGCCCCGGUAAACGGCGGCCGUAACUAUAACGGUCCUAAGGUAGCGAAAUUCCUUGUCGGGUAAGUUCCGACCCGCACGAAUGGCGUAACGAUGGCCACACUGUCUCCUCCUGAGACUCAGCGAAGUUGAAAUGUUUGUGAAGAUGCAAUCUACCCGCUGCUAGACGGAAAGACCCCGUGCACCUUUACUGUAGCUUUACAUUGGACUUUGAACCAAUCUGUGUAGGAUAGGUGGGAGGCUUUGAAGUGGGGACGCUAGUUCUCAUGGAGCCAUCCUUGAAAUACCACCCUGGUUUGUUUGAGGUUCUAACCUAGGUCCAUUAUCUGGAUCGGGGACCGUGUAUGGUAGGCAGUUUGACUGGGGCGGUCUCCUCCCAAAGAGUAACGGAGGAGUACGAAGGUAACCUUAGCGCGGUCGGACAUCGCGCUGUACGUGCAAUGGCAAAAGGUUGCUUGACUGCGAGACUGACAAGUCGAGCAGGUGCGAAAGCAGGUCAUAGUGAUCCGGUGGUUCUGAAUGGAAGGGCCAUCGCUCAACGGAUAAAAGGUACGCCGGGGAUAACAGGCUGAUUCCUCCCAAGAGUUCACAUCGACGGGGGAGUUUGGCACCUCGAUGUCGGCUCAUCACAUCCUGGGGCUGUAGCCGGUCCCAAGGGUAUGGCUGUUCGCCAUUUAAAGUGGUACGUGAGCUGGGUUUAAAACGUCGUGAGACAGUUUGGUCCCUAUCUGCAGUGGGCGUUGGAAGUUUGAGGGGACCUGCUCCUAGUACGAGAGGACCGGAGUGGACGAACCUCUGGUGUACCGGUUAUCACGCCAGUGGUAUUGCCGGGUAGCUAAGUUCGGAAGAGAUAACCGCUGAAAGCAUCUAAGCGGGAAACUCGCCUCAAGAUGAGACUUCCCGGGGGUUUAACCCCCCUAAAGGUUCGUCGGAGACUACGACGUUGAUAGGUCGGGUGUGGAAGCGCAGUAAUGUGUUAAGCUAACCGAUACUAAUUGACCGUGCGGCUUGAUCCUA